This 7398-nucleotide long non-coding RNA is filed under the name Homo sapiens (human). Its description in RNAcentral is "non-protein coding lnc-CD46-6:1". Lineage: Eukaryota; Metazoa; Chordata; Mammalia; Primates; Hominidae. The record is from RNAcentral.
AUCACAUGUGAACUGGAAGGGAGCCAACAUGGAGACACAGAGAGCGCAAGGUAAACAACUUUCCAACGCCAAAAGGAUGACAUUUAAUCUCUAAAUGCUAGCUUCCCUUCUUAGCUCAUCCUUAACCCCUCUCAGCUGGCCACAGAGACCCCAGGAGCCUCACUACCUGUCCCCAUAGAGCUCCUAACCAGAUGCAACAGUGACUGCGUCACCAUUCCCCACUUUUCCCAACUACGCAGUGACAAACCUACCAGCUUUACCCCACUUCUCCCAGCCCACACCCCACCCUGGCCACUCGGCUCCCCACCAGCCUCAGAAUCCCAGGGCCAGACCUUUCAAUAAGGCAACCCCUGGGAAAAAACUGUCCCUCUGUCUUCCUUUCGGCACUUCUCACUCCCUUACCUUCCACAUAAGACCUGCACGGACAGACAGAUGGACGCUGACACCCAAACAACUUGGAGAACCAGUCUGUCUGUCCACUAGAAGGAAAUAGGGUAAAAGCUGGGAGGUCAGGUGGGAAGCAGGGGAUGGUUCACUCCUCUCACCUCUACCCUGGUCAGGCUUGAGCAGCUGACACUAGGGAAAAGAAAUUAAAGUGGGAAAAAACCCUCCCUCAGAGAAAUAAAUAGCAAAAAUCGAGAAAGAAGGUGAGAAAGACAGAGCACCCACAUACACAGAGACAGCGCCCCUGAUCCCAGCAAAUACAUACGUGGGGGAAGAAGGGGGUUACGCCAUCAAGUCCUGAAGCCCGUCGGACCACCCAUCGCCGCCUGCGCAGACCCAAAUCUUGGUCCCGCCGUAAGGUGCCGCAGUCCCGAAUGUUCCAGAAUUUGGUCCCAUCAAACCCUCCACCGUCGCCCCACAACCUCUUGCUCCCACCCCUGCCCCCCACCACCACCCCACCUCCUCCCCACGGGAACCGCCCGUGCCACCUUGCGUGUCAUCUCCUAGCCUAGGCUACCCAGAGGCCUCUGGCCCUGACAGAUCUCUGAACGCUCAGCAAGUGAGCUGGCAGAACCUGGUGCCCGGUGUUGCUAUGACUUGUUUCUUGAUUUCUCUCUCUCUCUCUGCUGCAGCACGGCUGUUGCUAGCAGACCUAUCGACGGAGCUUGCUUGCUCGCUCGCUCUCUCACUCUCUCUCUCUCUCUCUCUCUCUCUCUCUCUCUCAGCUCUGUGACGCAGAUCUAAAUUCUCCAGUCUGCUCCUUGUGUUGCAAGAGCAGAACUGCAGCUUUUCCCCUGGAGAGCCGGAGGGCAGUGCCAAGGCUGGUCAAACAAGGCAAAAAAAGUUGGGCCUACACUCUGCUUCCUUGGCCACACUUUUCAGCUCACACCCUCCCACCUCACCCCUCCUGCACCUCACUGCUCUGGGGCAUAGAGGUCCCUGUCCUUUCAGGCUCACUCCUUCCCUGAGGCCUUCUCAGGCAUAAGAGUAGCUUAACUCUUUGAGUGGCAGCCCCCAGUGCCCAGACAGGGCUGCCCUGUACUAAAUGUUGCAACAUGUUUUCUUGAGCCAUAUGGGCUUCUCCAGCCCUGAGAAAAAAUGUUCCUCACCCUGACCACUGUCCCAUUAACUCUUUGUGCCACAGACAAGUCCAGGAUUACAGUCAUAGCUGAUUUCUGUUGUUUUUUGCCUUUUUGGCCAAAAACCAGGACCUUUUUCUCCCUGGAAUUUCUUAAGGACAAAAAGCGUAAUUAAAACAUUGCCUGCCUACCCCACACAUGAGAUCCUUCUAUCAGGGCAGGAAUUUGAAAAACCAAAUUGAACUGCAGCCUGAAGAAUCCAGAGUAAAACCAGUCUGGAUAUCCAUCCUUCCUGGGCUCAAAAUUUUAGGGCCUAGGUAAAUACGUUCAAUUACUUUUCAAGUAAUUGGCCACACAGUCUCAGAGAUUUGGGUUGCUGAGUCAUUUGUUCCCAAGAAGAUCUGACAACAUGAAAAACAGCAAAACAGAGCAACAGCCAAGCCUGGACCUGAAGUGGCCAAUGACUGGGUUCUCCUCUCCAGCAUGGGCAGUCAAGCAAGAUGAGCAUCCACGAGCCGACCCCCAACCCCUCCACAAUGUUCAUGCAUGGAUGUCCACACUCCUGGAAACUCUUCCAGGAAGGGGUGGUCCACCAAUGAUCUAGAGAUGGAGUGGGGUUGUUUUUGGAUACUCACAGGUCUCCACUACAGCAAGCAAAGAGCCCCCAACAUUUUCCUGCCCCUCCCCCCAGACGCAAAAAUGCUUCCAAGAACAACUGAGAUACUAAAUCACUAGACCCUACAUACCCAGAUAGACCAAGGGAGUGUUGGGUUCCCACACUGCUACAUCCAAAGAAUGCAGAAAGGUUCCCGACAACCAGUUGUACCAUAUGAGCCUAGACUUGACCAGAAGUGAGUGAGAUAUUCAGGUCCUGGGUCAGGUAACUUAUGAAGUCUAUGACAUCAAGAACCUUGCAACUUCCAGGAAGAUGAAUGAGAAUGCGAGGCCAGGCAGCUACCUUAUCCCAUAUCUGCUUCCCAGGCAGCCUUCUUCAAGCAACUACUCUGGGCCAAAGUUUCAUCCGGCAGAAAGAAGGACCACUUGGAAGACAAGCAUGGCACUACACAGUUUUAAAAGAAGACCAGAGUAUCUGUGCCAGGCUCCCAGCAGGGGGGAAAGUGCUUCAAAUUCACACCUUCUGGGCUCCAAGGUUGAGCAUGCCAAUAAAGAAGUUACCUACUGGUCUGAUGACCAAAGGAACGUGGCCUUGAUGGCACUAAAGCAAGUCCCCCAGAAAGGUCCUCUGGUUACUUAAAUCCCAUUUGCCGUAGUUUCCUUCUCCAUGGAAGAAAAACAUGCCUAAGUUCAUGUCAGGACAUUCCUGAUUUAUCCAAGAGCCCAGGAUCAAAUAAACAAAGGGCUCUGAGCUCUGCCAGGGAGCCUCCUCCUUCAGGAGGCAGAACUAGAGGGAAGUAGGCUUGGUACAGAGCUGGCCCAUCACCCCAUGAACUUGGUGAGUGACGUGGCUGCUCACUGCCAUGGCGAUGGGGAUGUUACGGGUGGGUGGAAGUGAGAGAAGAGGCAAAUAAGUCAUGAGAGACGAAGCGAAAGCGAGGCAGGGUCACAGGAGGAACCUACAAAGCCACAGAAUUUGUACAGAGGCCGACUGUAGUCUAUGACCGCAGCAAAACUAAGCUGAGUCCCUGCAAAGAUAAGUCCCCAUCUCAGGGGUGCGGCAUGAACCAACUAUGACUCGCAAAAACCUAUGACAACACUACGUUCAGCAAGGCUUUGUUUCCUUUCAUUUUCCCUCUAAAUCUUUUCCUUCCCAUGACCCCGUUGGUACGGCUUUGAUGACUGGAAGAACACUAGGGUUUUCGGUUUUGCUCCGGUUUGAAUAAAAUGACACAGACAUACAUGGAGUGGUUUUAAAGAGUGGAGAAUUUAAUAGGCAAGAAAGAAGGAAGAGGCUUUUCCUGUACAGAGACAGAGGGGGGCUUUAAGCCGAAAGAGGGAACCUUGAGUGCGGUGGAAAACAGCCAGUUAUAUGAGGAGGCUGGAGGAGGCAGGAUUAAAACAGUCAUUUUAGGUACCUCUGCCCAAUUCUAGGUCUUCCUUCUAUUAACCUGAUUCUACAAGGCACCAAGAACAAAAAAACCCGAAUGGGAUGACCAGGAAGCAGAAAUGAAUUCAGUUCCAAAAACAUGGGAGGAUGUUUACUUAGCAAGCACGCUCGAGCCUACAAGGAAGCAGUUUUACAGGGUGCUGCAUGCAGUGUUUGAUUUCAGGGGGUAAAGAUAACUUCAGAGUGGGGAAAAGGUGCUGGCUCCUUCUACUCACCCUCAGAGGCUUGGGGAGGCCAGGCCAGCACAAACUUGAAAAGGCAAGGCUUCAGCUCAAGCCCAACAGGUUGCCGGCUCUCUUUGGCUCCUCGGCAGCUACCGGACUCAGGAACUAAACAAACUCUCCAGACUUCAUGAGCAUUCCGUGGCCUCCGACUGAUCUGGGUCAAAACUUCGAAAUGCCAAAGACAAAGAAUUUUUUUCUUUAAAGGGGAAUGAGCUGAACUUUGACCCGCCCUUGUUCAGGGUGUGGAAUGCAAGCACUGUGUACCGGCCACAAACUCCAGUUCGGCAGGCAACAGCCAGAAAAGCAGUCUUCAUGCCGGCUUCAUGCCGGCCUCCCUGUCCUGUUUCCUCUUUAGGGCCAACUCGACGGGGUCUAGGUCUUUACCUCGCUCUCCAGACAGGGAAGCUGUGCAGAGGACACAUUCCAAUCUCUGUUAUCUAGAGCUAGAGUGGAUGUUCUAGAUAAAUCUGGCAGCGAUCUGGUCUCAGGUGGAACUGACAGGCCCAGUCCACAGCAAGAUGGCAUUUCUGUUCACUCCCUGGGAGCUGGUGGACAACAGGCGCUUGGUUACCACCUGAGGUAAAUCAUUUAUUAAGUACCUACUAAGUGCUAAGCCAAGAUACAGCACAGGAAAAGCAUCAGAAACAGUCCAUCAUGGAGAACACACACAUUCCAGCUGAGGCUAAGUAUUCCCAAAUUUGCAUUGCUGAUAUUUAAAACAUCUGCUUACUUUAAAAGCUGAGAUCCACUUUUGCAAUGAAAUAAUAUCAAACAUACUGCUUGGUUCCCAGGCUAGCUCACAAAAGCCCAUUUUAUCCACUCCAGGAAGUCAUCAACUCCAGUGUCUUCAGGGGCCAUGCAGGUAAUGAAGGAGUACAGUGGCCUGGGGAGGGGAUGUGCCCAGUGGAAGGACCGUGCCACUCCUGAUGGGCCACCCUCCUGGCUCUGCCUGCUGGGGACCAUCUGGGAACAGAGACCCAAAGAGUCCAGAUCAUCCAGGUUUUCAGGGCAAGGCGGAAAACUAGCUUUAUGUUAAACUCCUGAUUUUUUUUUUAACACUGUCCAGAUAUUUUAAUGGUCAGAACAUACCUAUAGAGCUUCCAGUUUGUUCUCCUGGUUGUAAUGUGUCUAAAAUACAAUACGUUUGUAAUAAAAAAAAAAAAAAAAAAGAGCAAGCAUUGCCAGAGUGAGGAAUUAAAUAAAAUAAAGAACAUACCCAAAGAGGAAAACUUUACCUCACACAUCUGCCAUUUGAGGAAAAUAAUAAGCAUAGAGGAAAAUGAGGAAAAUUUAAAACUUCCCUGAGGGCUGCAGGUGGAGAGGUGUAUCGAAAUGACUUCCAAGUAUACGUGAUUUAACUGAAGUAGUAAUAAUAUGUGUGCAUCCUGACCUGCCAGCUAGGCAGAAAAGUCAUGCUGAUAUACUGGCUCUGUCUCCCAGUUGAGAGCGCUUCUCUGGACAUCCACAAAACGUCCAUCCAGGGCUUUGGUGAUAAGAUUGGAAGGGCUUAUCAUAAUCCAGCUGCCCAUUCAAGACACAGUACCCUCCACAAACACCACCGUGACCAAGUCAUGGUCUAGCCCCAACUUGAUUCAAUAACUCCCACCACACCUUUGGAGGGUUCAGACAAGUGGAACACAACUGAGAUGAAAUCUCUCUGCAGGGAAAUAUUAGCCUUCAGGUCUCCACUCUGCCUCUGGAGCCCCAGAGAACAAGCCUACUCCCCCAAAGACUUGGAGACACUUUAGGAUGGUUUUUACAACCAGAAGUUUUUAGGCUAAACAAGAAGGUACAAAAAGGGAAAUUAAAAAGGAAGGGCGGGGGGAAGAAGCCAGAGAGAAAUAUUCUCGAAAUAACUGAUCAAAAGUUAACAAGCCAAAGGAAAAGAGGAAGAGACACAGGCAUUCAUGAGACAGGAGCCUCUUGUGGCCAAACCAAUAGCAAGUGAAGAAGCACAUGGGAAAGGAAGGGCCCACAGUCCAUACACAAAAGAAAAUGCCAAGAGCCACCAGAUCAGACAGUUCCCAAGGCCAGCCACCAGGCUGUGCCAGUGAUCCAGGACAUACUGGUUAGAACCUUGCACUGGGAGAAGAAAACUGCAUACAACUCACAAUUGUUCAGUAUGGAACUUUUUUCUGUCCAGGGGGAAGGGUUUCUUUUACUGAUGGAUUUGUUGGAGUUAUUUAUAUAUUCUGGAUAUGAAUCCACUUGCCAGGUAUAGGUACUGAGUAUAUCUUCUCCUCUCUGCUUGGCUUCACUCUCUUUUAUUGAUGUCAUUUGAUAAUCAGAAGCUCCUCAUUUUAAUGACAUCCAACUUAUCAGUCUUCUCCCUUAGAGUUAGUGCUUUCUGUGUCUUCUUUAAGAAAUGUAUGGCUACCCCAAAGUUAUAAAGAUAUUCUAUGCUAUCUUGUAGAUGAAGUUUUGUUUUAAUUUUCACAUUUAGAUUGAUGAUCGCUUUGGAAUUUAUUUUUGUAUAUGAUCAAGAUUCAUUUCUUUCCUGUGGAUAUCCAGUUGAACCAGCACUGUUUAUUAAAAUAACCAUCCAUUCCCCACUGCCCAGCAGUGCCUUCUUCAUCAUAAAUCAGGUGUCCAGAUACAUAUAGGUCUGUUUCUGAGCUCCCUGUUCCAUUUCUUUGGUAGAAAUAAGACAAACAAAUAGGUCUGCUAUUACGGUGUAGAUCACUAAUUGUAAAUCUGGUCAUUUUAACAUGUUUACAAGUAAGGUUUAGGAAAAUACACUGAGGGGCCAAUUGUGAGAAGCCAGCUUGAUGUGGACAUGCAUAGUCUGAGAAGAGAACUCCAGCCUGGGCUUCUGAGAAUGAAUAGGAUGAGCAAGAACUGGUAAAGAAAUAGCAUCACUAGCUAAGGAAGGGGACAGCAAGAAGAAAAGCACAGAAAAAUAAAAAUCAGCCUUAUUUUUUUGUGGAGAGCAACAUAGUGAUUAAGAGUACAGACUCACACAGUUUAGGAGACAGCUUGCAUCCAAAUCCCCUAAUACUAUUUAGCUGUGUCACCUUGGGCAAGUUACCUUGGCCUUUCUGGCCUCAGUUUCCUAAUCAGCAAAAUGGGGGUAAUCUUCCUCAUUGAGCUAUAAGAUUAAAUGGGUUAACUAAUGCAUAUCUUUUAGUACAGAGCUUACCACUGCAAGCAUUCAUUCAAAAAAUGCUGUGUGCUAUCAUCAUCAUUAGUGACACCAUGGAGAACAGCUGGACUGUCAGAGCAAUCUUGCCAUUCAACCAACAUUUAUAGAGUACUUAACUACCAAACAAAAAUAUUACAUUUAGUGGUUAAAAACUCUAACUCUAAAAUGAGAUAGAUUUGAAUCUGAAUUCUAGUGCAGCCUCUUGACUAAUUAUAUAAACUUGAACAACUUACUUAACCUUUCUAAGUUUCUAGUUUCAGCUUCAUCUAUACUUCAUUGGGAUUUUCUUGGAGAGGAUGUGAGAUACAGAAGUAAUGCAGCACAAGGCCCAACACAGAAUAAGUGCUCAAUUAAUCCCAGCUAUCACUAUGAUGAUGAGAAUGACAACAAUGGUGACAUAAAGAUUUUGCAUUUGGUAUAAGAAAAAGCCUACCAACACCUCAA